GGUGUGUUUGAUUGUGGCAGGUGAGUUUAUAUUAAAAUAAGGAUUACAUGAUAUCAAUUUGAGUAUUGUAGAGAUUACUCGCGACGUCAGUAAGGACUAUAUAAACAACCUGUGAGAGCAGGGUUUUGCUUAUUUUAAGAGAUGGGGUAAAAAUGAAUGCCAGCAACUGCGGUUAGAUUCAUUCAUCGAGUAAAUCAAGUACGGAUUUGUUAAUUCAUGAUUAAAUAAGUUAUGGUAUAAAGUCUAGGUAAAGGUUAAAUUUGAAACUAGAACGUGUUUUAUACCAAUUAUAAUUUUAAGGUUUUUUACGUGACUACGAAGUGAAACCAGGAUUAGUACCCUGUUAUCCGUAGUGUAAAAUAGGAUUUCCACCUCACUACUUAUUGGAUUAACAAAGGGAAACAAAUUGGCGGUGUCCGAGUUAAAAAACAGGGGAACCGGGGUGUUAAAGGACGAUCCACCUACAUUUCACCCCUCACUUAAGAGUGCAUGUGUAUGGUUGUUUAAUUGAUAAUGAAAGUUGGCAGUGAAAAAGCUUAUUUAAUUACAGGGUGAUUUUCUCCUGUUAUAAUAUUUUUAAGCCAAAAUUCAGAUUGACAUUCAGCUAUGUGAGGGUUAGCCUGGGUUACAGUGAAAAUUUAUAGAUACUGACGGAUAGGUGUAUGUAAACGUACCUUGGAAGAAGGACUUGUAAGUAAAAGUUAUUAAAUCAUAGUAGCUUGAAUACUAUCGGAUGAGUACAGAUCGCCCGUCGCUCGCAAAGAAAUUUGUGAUAAGUCGUAACAAGGUAGAGGUAUCGGAAGGUGUCUCUAAAAUAAU
This 819-nucleotide non-coding RNA is filed under the name Mytilisepta keenae. Lineage: Eukaryota; Metazoa; Mollusca; Bivalvia; Mytilida; Mytilidae. The record is from RNAcentral.